RNAcentral lists this unclassified non-coding RNA (144 nucleotides) under uncultured fungus. RNAcentral describes it as "sequence contains ITS1, 5.8S rRNA gene". The record is from RNAcentral. Lineage: Eukaryota; Fungi.
CUGGGACCCAGGUUGGGUGCUUCGGCGCCCGCCCCCACCCCUUGCUUAGCCCCCGAAAUAAUACAAACCCGUCGGCCUCAGGCGCGCCGGCCGGACAUCAAACCCUGAACAACAUUGCAGCCUGAAGUGAAAAGCAAAUAGUUA